CGGUACAGUCGAUUUCAUCUUCGGAAAGUCCGCGACCGUGAUCCAAAACUCUCUAAUCCUCAUCCGAAAGGGUAGCCAGGGACAGGCCCAUUACGUUACAGCCGACGGUAACGAGAAAGGUGCAGCAGUCAAGAUCGGUAUCGUUCUUCAGAACUGCCGUAUCAUGGCGGACAAAGACCUCGAAGCUGAAAAGCUAACCACCAAAUCGUACCUAGGACGGCCGUGGAAGAAAUUUUCCACCACCGUAAUUAUUGGAACUGAGAUUAGUGAUGUGAUUAAGCCAGAAGGAUGGUCCGAAUGGAAAGGAGAAGCUAACCACAAAACCGCUAAAUACAUUGAGUUCAAUAACCGUGGACCAGGAGCUAACACUGCUGCUAGGGUUCCUUGGGCCAAGAUCGCUAAGUCUGCGGCUGAGGUUGAAGGUUUCACCGUCGCUAAAUGGUUGACUCCGGUUAACUGGAUUCAAGAAGCCAACGUGCCUGUCCAGCUUGGAUUGUAAGAAAACAAACAAACAAAUAUUAACGAAUAAAACAGUAUGUGAUAAUGUAAAGAGGUAACGAUAUACGACCUCGUCUCUGGGGACCAGGGCUCUUUUUGAUAUUAUUAUACAAUAUAGGGGUUCUAGACAUUGUGGGAUGAAGUUUGUAUAAGAUUGCUUUUGUUUCACGUGCAAAAAAAAAAAAAAAACUAAUGUUGUUUCAGUUGUUUUACCCUUUUUAUCCUAAAUAAUGAAUUUCUUCUAACCAUUUUGUUGUGUGUAUAUAUAUCCCUAUCCUUUUUCUGUUACAAUAUGAACUAAAUAAUAUGAUUGAUAGAUAAAACUUCGUAAAAACAAACAAACCAAUAUAUUUAUCUACAAUUUAUGUGUAAACAUGUACUAGCUAGUUUUCUUCAAAAAAAUAUGUACUAGCUAGUUUGAUAAAAUAUAAACCAAAUACACAUCUAACGCCCGUUGAUAAAAAUAAUGUUUGAUGUGUUUCUUUUAAUUUUUGUUUGGUUUUCAAAUAGAUUUCGCUUCUGUUUUUAAUUUGGUUUCGAUGGGGAGCCAUAUAAUAUAACUCUCAGGUGCAAUAUAUCAGAAACUACCGGUUAGCAGUGACCAGAGGGGACAACUUAUAUGUCAGGAGGUGUAAUCUUACCUCUAUUCAACUCCAAUACAGGAAUCAGAAUCAAGACUUCUCCUGGAAGAGGAGGGUACGUUAGAAACGUUCAUGUAUCAAACGUGAAGCUAGAUAAUGUGCAGAAAGCUAUCAGGUGCACUGGUAAGUAUGGUGAACAUCAUGAGAUUUGAUCCUACAGCACGUCCGGCUAUAUAGAGAGUCACGUUUGAGAAUGUUGAUGGUGAAGGUAUUGGUGUUGCGGGUCUUAGUGAAUGUAUAGAAUUAGAUGAAUUUAAGAAUAUAUGUUCCUUAAUGUUACUAUAUUACGGUGAAGAAUAAUCCCUAAUAAAGAAGAACUCGAAGAAAGCUCCAUGGAGAUGCUCAAAUGUUAGAGACUAUUCACACCGUGUGAACGGAGACCGUGCAGUCAUAUUCAACUGUAGAUUUGACGCUUUCCAAGACACACUCUACGUCAACAACGGACGUCAGUUCUACAGGAACAUUGUUGUGUCCGGUACAGUCGAUUUCAUCUUUGGAAAGUCCGCGACCGUGAUCCAAAACUCUCUAAUCCUCAUCCGAAAGGGUAGCCAGGGACAGGCCCAUUACGUUACAGCCGACGGUAACGAGAAAGGUGCAGCAGUCAAGAUCGGUAUCGUUCUUCAGAACUGCCGUAUCAUGGCUGACAAAGACCUCGAAGCUGAAAAGCUAACCACCAAAUCGUACCUAGGACGGCCGUGGAAGAAAUUUUCCACCACCGUAAUUAUUGGAACUGAGAUUAGUGAUGUGAUUAAGCCAGAAGGAUGGUCCGAAUGGAAAGGAGAAGCUAACCACAAAACCGCUAAAUACAUUGAGUUCAAUAACCGUGGACCAGGAGCUAACACUGCUGCUAGGGUUCCUUGGGCCACGAUCGCUAAGUCUGCGGCUGAGGUUGAAGGUUUCACCGUCGCUAAAUGGUUGACUCCGGUUAACUGGAUUCAAGAAGCCAACGUGCCUGUCCAGCUUGGAUUGUAAGAAAACAAACAAACAAAUAUUAACGAAUAAAACAGUAUGUGAUAAUGUAAAGAGGUAACGAUAUACGACCUCGUCUCUGGGGACCAGGGCUCUUUUUGAUAUUAUUAUACAAUAUAGGGGUUCUAGACAUUGUGGGAUGAAGUUUGUAUAAGAUUGCUUUUGUUUCACGUGCAAAAAAAAAAAAAAAACUAAUGUUGUUUCAGUUGUUUUACCCUUUUUAUCCUAAAUAAUGAAUUUCUUCUAACCAUUUUGUUGUGUGUAUAUAUAUCCCUAUCCUUUUUCUGUUACAAUAUGAACUAAAUAAUAUGAUUGAUAGAUAAAACUUCGUAAAAACAAACAAACCAAUAUAUUUAUCUACAAUUUAUGUGUAAACAUGUACUAGCUAGUUUUCUUCAAAAAAAUAUGUACUAGCUAGUUUGAUAAAAUAUAAACCAAAUACACAUCUAACGCCCGUUGAUAAAAAUAAUGUUUGAUGUGUUUCUUUUAAUUUUUGUUUGGUUUUCAAAUAGAUUUCGCUUCUGUUUUUAAUUUGGUUUCGAUGGGGAGCCAUAUAAUAUAACUCUCAGGUGCAAUAUAUCAGAAACUACCGGUUAGCAGUGACCAGAGGGGACAACUUAUAUGUCAGGAGGUGUAAUCUUACCUCUAUUCAACUCCAAUACAGGAAUCAGAAUCAAGACUUCUCCUGGAAGAGGAGGGUACGUUAGAAACGUUCAUGUAUCAAACGUGAAGCUAGAUAAUGUGCAGAAAGCUAUCAGGUGCACUGGUAAGUAUGGUGAACAUCAUGAGAUUUGAUCCUACAGCACGUCCGGCUAUAUAGAGAGUCACGUUUGAGAAUGUUGAUGGUGAAGGUAUUGGUGUUGCGGGUCUUAGUGAAUGUAUAGAAUUAGAUGAAUUUAAGAAUAUAUGUUCCUUAAUGUUACUAUAUUACGGUGAAGAAUAAUCCCUAAUAAAGAAGAACUCGAAGAAAGCUCCAUGGAGAUGCUCAAAUGUUAGAGACUAUUCACAGAGAUUAGUUGUGAUUCUUUUGAAGAGAGUAUCUUCCCGAAGCAUAUCUCUGAUUGGUUUGGGUAGAAAAGGAUAAUCUGGAGUAAUUAAGGGGUUUAAGUAGGUCACCAUGGCUGCUUUCUUGAUAAGUUGACCAUUGAGGGCAGCACGCAGUUUGCGUUGUUGUCGAGAAAUCUUCAAAUUUUCCUUACUAUUUUUCUAUGAAAUUUCGCUUUUCAAAAGUGAUGUUUUCGUUUGUUCCUUCUUUCAUUUUUUUUAAUUGCAAGUUUGUGCGCAGUGAGAAAAAUAAACCCUAAACCAUAAUCACUAAAUCCUAAAUCCAAGUAUAAACCAUAAACCAAAAUAUAAACCAUAAAUCUCAAAUACAAUAUAACAAAAUAAAUAGCAUAGUACAUAAAAUUGAAAUUAUGAAAUAUCUAUGAUUGCAUGAAUGGAGUUAAUGAUAAUCUCAAUCUUAUCCCCCAACUUCUAAAUACUAAACCCUAAACUCUAAUCACUAAAUUUAAAAUCCAAAUAUAAACCCUAAAUCCAAAUAACAAAAUCUUGAAAACAGUACAUAAUAUUAUGUAAUAUUAAACUAUACAUAUAGAUCAUUCAUUGUAAUAUUCUACUUUUAACUAUAAAAUAUAAUCAUUAUAAAUAGGACAAAACAAAUUUGUGUGAAGUUUACAUUUGUUAUGGGUGUGGUUAACUGAAUGCUCAUGUAAUUACAAGUGGGGUAACAACAAACAUAAUACAUAUUAUGCUACAUAUAUUAUGUACAUAUCUGUUCUAUUUGUCUAUAUAGAAUAGAACAGGAAUUUGUGUAUGGAAUAGUAACACAAGUUAAUUUUCCUUCGUGCGAAUAAUCAUCGUGUCCAUAACAUACUGCUCAACACCCUGAGCUUUUGCAAUCUUUACUAUGAGAAUAAACGACUCCCGACCCUAUGGAUACUUAAGGAAGUAGUCAAUAUUGGUCAACAUACUAACCAUUUCAUGUCUAAUUUUCGUCGUUCCAAAGAGUUGUGUACAAUAUUCAUUUCUUUCCAGUUGGUUCAAAUCCAGUUUCAAACAUUCUGCCUGGAAGGCUUAAUUCUUACAUGACAACCUGCAAAAGAAAACCAAUCUGAAAAGAUAUCAUACGGAGCAUAGAACGAAACUAUCAAUAGCAUAUAAUACUAUAUACUUGGGAAGUACUAUACUAUAUCAAAGAAGAACAAAUUGAAUAUUGGCUAAGGAAUAAAUUAUAAUAUUUAUGGUAGCUACAUAGAGCCGGUCCUACUAAUUAAUGGGCUGGAAGUAAAUCUUAAAAGUGUGACCUAUUUAUAUUUAGCUUUAUAAGAAGAAAAAGGAAAUUUAAAUAAUGUCAAUAGGUUAGGUUGAACUCCUCACCUCCUCUGCACUAAAAAUAUGUUUUACCAGUUGACCUAUUGAAUUAUUUAUUUAAAUUUGUGGCUGGUAUUAUUGAUAAUUUAGUGGCGGCCGGAAGCACCAGCUUCUCCCGCUUCUGUCCAAGGCCGCCUCUGUAGCUACAGAGUGCAAUUUCCCUAUUUUGUAUGUGUUUUUUUAAUGCUUUGCUGAGAAGAACAAUUGUAUAUCUCCGAUAUAGUCUGUUGAGAUUGUAUUUUUGUGUUGUUAACAAAUUUUUUUAUAAAAAAAUUCAAAUUCCAAAAAAGAACAAACUCUAGUUAUCAGUAUUUGAUCAAAAAAAAAAACUCAAAUUUGAAGACAGGUGAAAGUUAACGUAAACUAGUAUUAUACCAGAAAAUAUUCAACGAGGUUGAUUCAAACUAUGUGAAAACCUCAACUGAAACAUAAAGAGAAAUUUGAUUACAGAUCCGUUAAUAAACAUAUACUAGCACUGUAUUAAAGAUUUAUGAACCAUAGAAGAGUAUAAUGUAUUUAUUUAUUAGUAUAAUGUAAUUAUUCAAUUAUUAUAUUAGUUUUGAAUAUUGGAAUCCAAGAUUUAAUUUCUUUUGAAUUGCGGCUAGAGGUGUUUGAUUCUGACUUUUGUUCGGUUUUAGUGUUUUUUGGUUUUUAGAUAUUUCAGUUUAUAAAUAAUUGAUUUUCGGUUUAUACCCAAACCAUAACUAUAAUUACCUUUUAGAACAAAUUUUAUUUUAUAUGAUUAGAAAUAUUUAUUAAAACUUAAAUAUCUAUUUUGUACGGAAAUUUUUAAAUAUAAUAUUUUCUGUUUUUUAACUAUUAAAAAUAAAAUAAGAAAAUAGUAAUUUCAUAAUAUUAAUAAAUAAAUAUAUUUUAGUACAAAUAUAUAACAAGAAAAAGUAUAUGUUUUAUUUGAUUUGAUGAAAAAUGGGAAAAAACAAAAUAACCCUUUUAACUUAGAAAAAUAACAAAUUAUUAAAAUCAAUGUCUUAAAUAUGAAUAUCAUAUUAAUAAAAUAAAUUAUGUAUUCAUUAUUAAUUUUAUUAUAAAAUUUACAUAUAAGUAUACCAAUAUAUUUUAGUUAAACGAUUUUUUGUUUAUACCGGAACAUAUUCAUAUAUUGUGGUUUCUUAAACAACAUCUAUUCAGUUUAUACGAUAUUAAACUAAUUAUCAAAACAAAAAAAAAAGUUUAUACGAAUAUUAGCAAAUUCUAAUCAAUUUUCUAUUUUGUUUCUGUUUUACCGAAUUUAAUAUCCCUAAUUGUAGCUCACGUGUGGAAGUCUAGUAAGUAAAGUUGAAUCUUAAACUUGAAAGUUGUAUUAAAAGUUCAUAUCAAAACUUAGAAAAAUAUAUAAGUAUGUAGUAAUCUUCAAUUGUAUAGUUAGUUUUCAUGUAUGAGUUCAAUUCAUAUAAAAUUUAGUUUUAUUAUACAUAGGCUAGCUAGUAAUUUUCUCAAAUUAAAAAAAAACAACAAAACAUAAAUAUUCUUGAAAAGGAUCUGAUUUUUUUUUCAUCCUUACAAGUUACAACCGAAUAAUACUAACAUUAAGUAACAAACUAAAAACAAAAUUUUGAAUAAAUCUCCGACAAACAAGUGAUUUACAUCAUGACAAAACUUUCUUCCCACACUGUAUUGGUCAAAUCCUAGAUUCCAUCUUUGCUUUACUUUUUAUAUCAGUAGUGAUACGUUCUUGAGAUUUUUAGUCUUCUCACGCUAGACAAGAACAUCCUAUAGAAUAAUCAAUUAAACCCCAUUAGACUUCUACAUCAUUAUAUAGUCAUUAAUCAAAAUUGCAAUGUGUUUAAUUAAAGAUUAAAUAUAUUAAAAAGAUUAAAUAUAAUAAAUUAGAAAAGUACUUACUCCCAAGGAACAUCUCCAACCAUUAUCCAGUCACCUUCCUUGUCUGCGUACGUUAGCACAUGACUCUUCUCGCUACACAUAUCUUCUUCUUCAGCCCCUGUUUCAGUUUUCAUCAUAUUUAUUAUGUUAUGGUUACAAAGAGUGAAAGAGAUUUAUAGGAUGUUCUUGUCUAGCGUGAGAAGACUAAAGAUAUCAUAUUCUUUAGCAAAAAAAGAGCCAAAACAUAAACGAGAUAUGUAUAAUUAUUUUGAGUGCGUUAUAUUCAUAUAUAUAAGAUAUUGGUGACAUGCAAAGAUAUAUAAAUAUAGAUAAAAAAAAGAUAUAUAAAUAUAUGUGAGUAAAUUCUUACAUAGGAUUGAGGCGUUGAACAUGUAAUCGAGAGUUGUGAUCAAAUCAUGGUAUCCAUUAAGAGAAAAUAGAUCGAUUUUUCUUCCAAUAGGAACACCUUCCAUGUUCACCUUCACGUAGAAGUUUCCGAGACUAUUACACUCGUUUUGAUCUUCUUCUUCAAUGAUCAUUUUAUGAUCAGCCGCAACGACUCCAUAUUCAUCAUGAUUUUCUCCACCGUUGUAAUACUGUCCGGACGAUGAUCCGAAGCUAAGUCCGAGCCUCAGGUCCGUGCUUAGGUUCCGAGUAUUACUCGAAGAGACACCAAAUGGGUUGCUUUUGCAGCUACUUUCUAUCGAUGAAGACGGUGAGCUUCUUCUUCUUCCCAUUUUUUUUUUCUGACUAUUCUCUUUCUCUAAGAUUUUGAUGUAAAGAUGUGAUUAAUGAUUUGAACGUGUGUGUAUAUAUAUAGAGAAGGAUUUUUAAAAUUAUAAUUUAAUAUAAUGUUCCCAGAAGAGGAAGAAUUGAUAUUGAUAUGGUCUUCUUUUUUUUUUGAAUAAAUAAAAAUGAUGAGACAGUGUUGUUAAAGAUGUUGCUGAUGUAGCAGACAAGUAUACGUGUCAACCAGACAUUUGGUCAAAGUGUUGGUAUAGACUUUGUGCUUGGAUGUUUUUGGUGGAUGUGUUCUAUUUGUAUUGUUUCAAGUUUAAUACUCCAAUCCUAGUACUCUUCGUUUAACAAAAAUAUUACAAUUGUUUCCUUUUCCUUGAUAGAAAACCCCCAAAAAACAUUAUCCGAAAUUUAUUUAUUGAAUCAAGCUCUCAAACUCACACUUUAUUAAUCACUCAAUGCUUUAGAAAAUAACUCAAAACUAAAGCUCUCAACACACACAAGUUAUGCAACACUCUUGCAUAUCCUUAUAUAUAAAUCUUAAGUUCCUAAACUCAUUAGGAAACUACUCUUAUAGAUAACUCUAACAUAUGACUUUCCUAAUCUCAUAGGAAAGUGGUAGCUUGUUUCCUAAGCUACUUCAAGUUCACUUCAACAUUCACCCCCUUGAUCUUGAAGUCUCCAUUUGAAACAUCUUGAAUCCCAAUCAAGUCUCUCAUCUCCUUAAAUUUAAUUCUCCCGAGUGCUUUAGUAAGUAUAUCAGCCUUUUGCUUAACUCCUGCAAUAUGCUCCACGCUCACCAUGUUCUUUUCAAUGCAUUCUCUUAUAAAAUGAAACCUCGAAUGUAUAUGCUUGCUGCGACCAUGAAAAACUGGAUUCUUGGUCAAGGCUAUAGCAGAUUUAUUGUCUAUUCGUAUCAUCACUUUGUUGCCCACACGUCCAAUGAUCUCCUCAAGUAGAUCCUGUAACCAAAUUGCUUGUUUGGCUGUCUCUGUUGCCGCCAUAAACUCAGCUUCACAUGAUGACAAUGCAACAAUCUCUUGCUUCUGAGAACACCAUGUAAUCGGAUUGCCACCAAGAUAGAAAAUAUGACCUGUUGUACUCUUGCCAUCAUCUGGAUCAGCAUUAUAGCUACUAUCGCUGUAGCCUAUCAAACCUUCCUGCGACUUAGAUCCAAACUCGAGACCAUACGUCAAAGUUCCUUGUAGAUACCGGAGCACUUGUUUUAGUGCAGCCUUGUGAGAUUCCUUUGGAGCGUGCAUAUACCUGCUUAACACUCCAACACUAUACGCCAGAUCAGGCCUUGUAUGUAUCAAGUAUCUUAAACAGCCGAUGUUCCUCCUGUAGUCGGUUGCGUCAACGCCACGUUCGUCAUCGGCUCUACACAACUUUAAGCCUGCAUCCAUCGGUAUAUGCACUGCGUUACAUCCUUUCAUUCCGGCGGUCUCAAGUAUCUUUGUAGCAUAUCUUUCUUGGCUUAGCACAAUACUUCCUUCUCGCUGUGAGACUUCUAUGCCAAGAUAAUAACUUAGUCGACCGAGAUCACUCAUCUCAAAUCUUGUCGCCAUAUCUCUCUUAAACUCUAGUAUCAUCUCCAAGCUUGAACCAGUCACGAGUAGAUCAUCAACAUAAACUGCCACGACCAACAGAUGCUCCUUAUUUUCUUUUCGGUAUAAGGAUGGUUCCUUUAGACAUCGCACAAACCUUAGAUCUCGCAGUACUGCAUUUAAUUUCUCAUUCCAUGCCCUUGGGGCUUGUCUCAAGCCAUAUAAUGCCUUCUUUAAUUUGUAGACCUUAGUUUCACUCCCUUUGAUUAUGUAACCUUCAGGUUGUGAAACAUAGACCUCUUCUUUUAACUCGCCGUGAAGAAAAGCCGUCUUGACGUCGAGAUGAUGAAGUUGCCAGCCACGUGAUGCAGCCAUUCCGAUGAUCAAACGCACAGUUUCAAUACGCGCAACUGGAGCAAACACCUCGUCGAAGUCAAUACCAUGCUUUUGUAUAUAUCCCUUAGCCACAAGUCUUGCUUUGUACUUGUUUAUGCUUCCAUCAGAGUUUCUUUUAACUUUAAACACCCACUUUAAUCCUAUUGCUUUACAAUUUGGAGGAAGAUCACCUAGACUCCAAGUUUUGUUCUUCUCGAUAGACUUGAUUUCAUCAUCACAUGCAUCUCUCCAUACUUUCAAUUCGCUUGCUUCCUCAUAGUUCCAUGGCUCUUCGUUGACAAGAAGCAAAAGAUGUUCACACUCGGCUUCGCAUAACGUCUCAAAGUCAUCUUCUUCACACAGAAGUUCAUAGUCCUCAAGGUAACUUGGCAACCUGCUCGUUCUUGUGGAGCGCCUCAGCUCCAUUGGCAAAUCCUCUGUAUCUGCUUCGUUACCAACCUCUUCUUCUUUUGCUUCUUGAGUGUUAUCUUUAUUUUCCUCAACUCCCUCUGUAUUUACUCGUGUACCUUGAUCACCAAGGUAGUAAUUAAAGCUCAACGCACUAGACCCGUUGCUUGAAGUCUUCUCUGUUUCGUCCCACUUCCAUCCUCGUUCUUCAUCAAAUACCACAUCGCGGCUUACAACUAUUUUCCGACUGGUUGGAUCAAGAAGUCGAUAGGCUUUUGAUCCAGGCUCGGUUCCAAGAUGGACAAGCAUCCGUGUUCUGUCGUCCAGCUUCUUCAGGUGCGGUGUGUUCACUUUCACAUAGCAAAUACAACCAAAAACUCUUAGGUGAUCAACGUUUGGUUUCUUGCCUUUGUAGCUUUCGUAUGGAACCUGUUGAUGAAGAGUUCUUGUUGCUAGCCUAUUGAUUAGGUACGUCGCAUGUCGUACCGCUUCACCCCAGAGCCAGUUUGGAACAUCUAAGUGUUUUAAGAUACUCCGUGUCAUCUCGAGUAGUGUUCUGUUCCUCCGCUCGACCACUCCGUUUUGUUGUGGGGAGUAUGGUGCGGUUAGAUGACGUUUUAUGCCUUCUUUCUCGCAGAACUCUUGGAAUUCAUGGGAAGUGAACUCCCCUCCUCUAUCAGUACGAAACGUUUUUAUCAUUGCACCAGACUCUUGCUCGACCACAGCUUUAAACCGUUUAAACUUAGUGAACGCUUCACUUUUCUCCUUCAUGAGAAUACUCCACAUAUAUCGAGAGUGGUCAUCGAUCAGAACAAAUACAUAUCUAUUUCCUCCUGCUGUGUGUGGUGUUAUCGGUCCACAAAGAUCUCCAUGUAUCAGCUCCAAUAUACUUGUUGCUCGGAAGGAACUCGCCUGUGGAAAUGGUUUUCGAGUUUGCUUGCCUCUCAAGCAAGAACCGCAAGUCUCCUUUUCUACUUCAAACGCUGGUAAACCGGUGACAAGCUUCUUGUUAACCAUCAGUUUUAGGUUCUCUAGGCCAACAUGUCCCAGACGAGCAUGCCACUUUGUUGAUUCCCUGAGAUGCAUUAGUUGUAAACACUUGAUAUUCUCUGCCUCCAUAACUACUUUAUAUAAUCUAUUCCUUGCUCUCUUCGCUUUAACCAGCAACUUGUUAUCUCGAUCAUACAAGAAUAGGUGGUCUUCUUUCAUUCUAACCUCGCAUCCCGACUCAGUAGCCUGACCUAGGCUAAUAAUAUUGCUCCGAAGUUUAGGUAUGAAGUAAACAUCAGAUAAUACUCUUCUUUCACCGUUCUUUGUCUUAAAGAAUAUGGAUCCUUUUCCUUUGAUGUCAAUGCGGGAAUCAUCCCCAAACUUCACUUUCCCUGUUAUCCCAUGAUCUAAUGUUGAGAAGUAGCCCAGGUUCCCCGUCAUAUGGUUGCUAGCCCCGUUGUCUAGGUACCAUAGAUGAUCAUCAGCUGUAUUUUCUUCGAGUUUACUUGGUGUGACGUUUCGUUCAUUCAAGAACACGACCUCAUGCAUCAUAAGUUGCUCUGCUUCUUGAGUAGCUUCUUCAUUCUCUUGUGUUUCUUGUAGUUUAAGCAAUCGGUCGGGACAGUUCAUCGCAAAGUGUCCCAUCUUGUCACACCUAUAGCACACGACUCUCGACGGGUCACGUUCUUGUCUAUAAUAACCUUGGUUUUGCUGAUAACUUUGUUGGUGCUGAUAAUUUUGUUGAUAGCCAUAUCGACCUCUACCUCUUCCUCGAAAACCAUAGCGACCGCCUCUGCCUCUACCUCUUCCUGACUCGUACCUGUCAUGAUUUUGCUGAGAAUCUGGCGUAUUAGUAAACAUCAGUUUAUCUUGACCUUGAUCUUCAUGUUUUUCUUCUUCAUCUUCAAAAAUCCUCUCUUCAUACGCCUUCAGUCUCCCUAUAAUGUCCUCGAAACUUGUUUUAUUAAGAUCGAGAACUUGUUCUAGCGCGGCUAUAAUGUGUAUGUAUUUCUUUCGAGGUAGGCUAUUAAGAAACUUUUUUACUAGCUUCGGUUCCUCAAUGUCUUCGCCUAAAGAGGCUGAUUUGGUCGAUAGUUCCGAUAGCUUUCCAACAAACUCGUCUAUAGAAUCUGUUUCCUUCAUCUUUAGUCGGUUAAAUUCAGCUGCAAGGGUUUGCAGCCUCGCUUCCUUGACUCGAUCAGCUCCCAUAUGUCGAGUUUUUAUUGCCUCCCAAACUGCUUUUGCAGUCUCUAGAUUUCCUACUUGUAAGAUCAACGAUUCCGGGAUUGAUUGGAACAAAAGUGCCCUUGCCAUAUCAUUCUUCUCUCCUUCGUCUUCUCCUGGUUCAAUAGUUUCCCAUACCUUGUGAACCUUUAGCGCCACUUUCAUUCUCAUGGUCCACACGGUAUAAUUUGUGUCGCUGAGCAUUGGACACUUGAUGGAUGACGAUCCACCACCUUUUGCGAUAUUGGUUGCAACGAUUUCUCCCAUUGCUUCUUCUCUCUUUCUUUUGAUUCAAUGAAAGCUCUGAUACCAAUUAUUGAAUCAAGCUCUCAAACUCACACUUUAUUAAUCACUCAAUGCUUUAGAAAAUAACUCAAAACUAAAGCUCUCAACACACUCACAAGUUAUGCAACACUCUUGCAUAUCCUUAUAUAUAAAUCUUAAGUUCCUAAACUCAUUAGGAAACUACUCUUAUAGAUAACUCUAACAUAUGACUUUCCUAAUCUCAUAGGAAAGUGGUAGCUUGUUUCCUAAGCUACUUCAAGUUCACUUCAACAUUAUAUAUAUUAUUCGUCUCAAAACGCUUUGAUAUUUUGUCGUAGAUAACUAAACAUUGUCUUAUCUAGACGAAGUUUUUCUACAAAGAUGGUCCCAAUCAUAUCUGGGAUGUUGGAAAUAAUUAAUUAGAUUCAUAAGAUGAGAUUAACUUGAGUAUGAGGAUCUUUCUUUAGAUAAACAUGAGUUAGAAGCAGUUAUGUUUGUUAGAGCUAAUAAAAUGAGAUUGAUGUUAUUAAUCUUUGAUUUUAAUUAAGCUAUUUUUAAUAUUAAAACAUUAGGUUUGUUUUAUGUUGAUUUUUUUAUACCACUUCGAUGUUUAUUAUUACUUAUUUAAUUUCCGUAUACUUAACACUUACUGCCUAUUUGUUGACUAAUGGCUAUUUGUUGACUUUGUUCAUAUACAGACCAAACAAAAUAAAUAAUAGUAUUCACAUGUUAAUUAGUUAGAUAAUAGACAUUUCCAAAACAUUUCUAUUUCUAACCUUUUUAAUAAUUACUUUUUUACGUUUCAAAUUUUUUUUGUGUAUCUGUUUCCGAUUUCAUUCAACUGUGAUUCAUUUAGCUUGAUAUCAUAGAUUAUUCUAUUAUUGGAAAUGAUUUUCUUACAGAUUCACCAGCUUUAAAAUGGGACGAAAUUUAUUGAAACACAAAAUUGAGCAACACUUUAGCAGAUUCAAAACAUAGAUGAAAUCGAAAGGACUAAUACUCCAUUCACAAAUAUCAUAUUAAUUAAAAAUAAAAUGUAAGGCUAUAUGUACGGAGAAAGAUGAACGUAGACAAAAAAAAAUACAUGUUCUAACCGGAUAAGAACAUUAUUUCUUGAAGAAGAUAUUAUAGAACAAAGUGUGUUACAGAAAAAAAAGGAACAAAGUACACUGAAUUUUUUAAGAUCUUAGUUUACUUAAUUUUUCGUCCGUAUUAAAUCAAGUUCAAUGCAUGAGAUUAUCGUGACGCGCAUUGAUGCAUUCGUGGGUUCGACAAACACCAUUUCCAAAUUAAGGGUUUCUUAUAACCGCGAUAAACUUUUUAAAAAAUAAUUUUAUAUUAGCAUAAACUAAUCUAAAUUUUUGUUUAAUGAUAUAUCAGCUGUUAAGCACGUCUCAUUUACGUCAUUAACACUCUAGUUCUGUUUAAUUUAAUUAUAAAAAUAGCCUAAGUGGACUACAUCGUAUCCUAGCCAGCAUGACAUGAGUUUGAGCUCACAUUAUUCUAAUCCAAGUCGCUUUGAGUUACACUUUCUCUCUUCAAUUUGUUUGAUUAUUACUUUAUGUUAACAUAAAGCAAAUACUCAAGUCCACAACCGAAAACAUAUGCUAUUUUCAGUAUUUAAAUAAACCCUUUUAUCAGUACAAUUAAAGUAAAUCAAUCGAUGCUCCUACAAAUCUAUGGCAAAAAGGGGUAGCUUUUAUGCCUAUAAUCUCUUCGUGCCACAAACCAAAACAUAUCAAAAUAGUUCUUUAUCUGAUUCUAGGUGCUCUCCAGAAAAUUGGAUGUUCCUUGUUUUUAUACGUUACAUACUUACAUGUAACAAUUAGAAGCAAAAAGAAAGAAACGAAAUCGGAAAUUUAAAAAUAUAGUACUAUAUACAGAAAGAGGAGAGAAGGGGGAGGCAAGCAUGAUGGAUGAGUAAUGAAUGCGUAACCUUAAAGAGAGGAGCUAAUGAAAGAUGCUUCGCCUAUGGAUGGACUUAAGGAGACGUCACAAUUCACCUCACACACUUAAAAACAUUUUUUUGCAAGCACGAGAAAAUGUUAGACGACACAAUGCCCGUAGAAGACAACAUUUUCACAUUCCCCACGUCACAUGCCUUUUUCCAGGUGUCUUCUCACUUUUGUCCCCUCCACUUCUACAAAUUUUCUUUAAACACUCCUUAGUUUCUUCAUGACCAAUCAAGAUGCCUAGAAACUCCUUGUUUUUUUUCUUUGUAAUUGAAGAUUUGUAACCGAAAUUUGUGGUAUUCUCCAAAUUCCUUUUACCAUCAAAUGGAAUUUUAUUUACGAUUUUGUUGAUUAGGGUCUAUAAUUGGUUUAAGAAAAUUAAUAUUAUUGUUACUAUUACAAUUUUUGUUUGGAUAUGUAUCUAGAAUUUGAAUCCUAUUUUUUCAUUUUUAAAAUCAUUUCAUCAAGUGCAUCUUUAAUGGAAAGACUAUUUAAAGCUUCUAAAAAAUACUCCUCUUUUUUAAUAAUAUACUAGAUAUUGACCCGCGCUUUAAAAGCGCGGGAUAACAUUUCAGUUAAAUUUUCGAUUUAAAAGUUACUAAUUUUUCUGAUCUGAAUUUUAAUAUUUGAGUUUAAGAUAUUUAACUGAGAAUAAUUUAUUUUAACAUCUUAUAGUGAGUGAUGGACAUUCAAAAUGUAGGUUCAUGUCAGUUAGGUUAAUUCAAUUUUCAAGUUAUUGGGGCUGGGAUGUUAAGACCCAUUUAUGAAUCAAAACUUUUCGAAUCAGAUCGAUUCGGGUGAUGUUGAGUUCGAGUCGGGUUUUUAUUUUUUCAUAAAACCCGAAGUGAACUGAAUUAGAAAUAGUUUGGGUUUAUUUGGGUGUGUUUAUUUGGGUCUAAAGCCAAAAAUUCUAAAAUCACCAAAAAAACCUGAGUUAAACCUAAAAAACUAAAAAAACCAGAUAAUUCAUGUAAUUUGGGGUUUUGGAUAUUUUUCUUAAAAAAAUAUAUUAUAUAAAUUAAUACUAUUAUGUUGAUUUUCAGUUUGGUUUUAGCUCUUUGGGUUUAGAAAGUAGAAACCAUUCAGAUUAUUGUAUAUUAUCCUGUUUUAGUUCCGAAUUUUUUGGUUCGGUUUUAGUUUGUUUUUCAGAUAUUGGAUAAUAUGUCCACGACUACAGUCUCAUUAGUUUUCUUAUCUACAUAAUAUCUAUCUUACUAAAACAUUAUUGAAUUUCCUAAGAAUACCUUAUAAUAUUACUUUUGUACAAUUUAAUUUCGUCUAAAGGGAUAUUUGGUCUUUCACUAAUUUUUUUUUAUUAUUUGUAAACUUAUUCAAUAAAAUCAUUUAUGGCUUAAAUAUCAUAUUAAAUUGCUAUAUUCAAGGGAUGUACGUAACAAAUGAACGUCAUAUACUGUGAAAAACAUUUUGCAGUAUAUACACUUUUUCAAUAAUAAUUAUUGAACAUACUAUUUCUUUCUAGCCCAAAAUGCUAACAUACCCGACAUUAAAUAGUAUAGAUAUCUAUAUAAUCGAACUUAAUUUCAUUUAAAGCCAUUAUGGUUUUGUGGCUAUAGGUACUUUGAACAUCCAUUUUUCUUUUUAAAGCAAUUUUUUCAAAGCAAUUAUGUUUUACUUUAAAAAAGUAAAGCUACAGCAAAAAAGUUAGAAACUAAAAUAUGGUAGCUUUCAAAAUUAAAUUUUCUACAGCUUUUAUUAAGUGUUUUGAAAAUAAAUCGACAACAAAAAAAAAUUAAAGCCAAAGGAAAAAACUCACACAGCCUAUUUUUUAAAACAAAAAAAAUAUAUAAAGCUACAUUAACAACCAA
RNAcentral lists this long non-coding RNA (15647 nucleotides) under Brassica napus (rape). RNAcentral describes it as "long non-coding RNA (BNAP_LNC003246)". The record is from RNAcentral. Lineage: Eukaryota; Viridiplantae; Streptophyta; Magnoliopsida; Brassicales; Brassicaceae.